This is a small nucleolar RNA of Equus asinus (donkey), 77 nucleotides long. The record is from Ensembl. NCBI's taxonomy places the organism in Eukaryota, Metazoa, Chordata, Mammalia, Perissodactyla, Equidae.
UGGACCAAUGAUGACGAUCGGUGGCUUUUCUGAGUCAUACACGAUGAAUACUAUGUGUCUGAAACUCUGAGGGCUGA